UAUGUUGUGAUUGCAGAGUCAGUGGACCCUGAAGGCCAGUCAUGAAGCUGUGAUGGCCAAGAUGGACGAGCUCACGGGCCAUCUGAAAGACGAGCGACUGAGAAGUCUUGGCCUGGAGAGCCAACUACAAGGCCAACUCAUUCUCACAGAGGAGGACAGAGGAGCAAAUCCAUGACCUGGAGAAGGAGAGAGAGCUGCUAAAGGAGAACUGUGAUAAACUAAUGAACAGAAAUUCGGGACGUGAGAGCAGCAGCUGAAACUACAGAUAGCCCAGCUAGAGGUGGCACUGAAGUCUGACCUGACAGACCAAAACGAGAUUCUGGACAAGAUCACGGUUGAAAGAGGUAUCUGUUGAAAGAGGUAUCUGUCAACCAGGACCUUUGUGUCUUUAAAAUUGUUUCGUGUGAAUUCAGAUUUACAAACAUUUUUUAUUUUAUUAGGAGUCAAGAAAAUAAAGAGAUUCAGCUUUGGUUUCUGGAGCAAAAGCAGCAGUUGGAUGAAAUAAAGGAUCAGAUGAAGUUCUACACCAAGGUUCUCACUCCAAAUAAGAAUGAAUGAAUGUUUUUUGUGUGCAGAUAUGUACACCAUGUCAUUACUCUGCUGUGCAUACAUCUUGCUAGCUGUCACUCAUAUGGCGAGGGGCUGAAGCUCAUUGGUUGAACUCAAAUUGCUAGGGGGCUGACCCAGGUGGGGGAAAAUGUAUGGAAAAUGGCGCAGCAGAGCUUCCAGAAAAACAGUUGCUUUCAAACUACACAUUGAUACAUCCAGCCUAAAGCUGGAGGUUCAAUAAAUACAUAGUAGUCGCAAAAGGUUUUUUUUAGGAACAGUGGAUUAACUGCCUUGUUCAGGGGCAGAACGAGAGAUUUUUUACCUUGUCAGCUCAAUCUUGCAACCUUUUGGUUACUAGACCAAUGCUCUAACCACUAGGCUACCUGCCACCCCAUUUAUCUGCUGCCCCUUUAACCAACAUGUUUAUAGAUGUGUCAUAAGGUUUUUUCUCUUCCAAGAGAGUGAGAUCGAUGUGGCUGAACUCAGUGAGGCAAUGAUGCUAGUGAAGGUAUUUGGUCAUUUAACCUGUCUCUCUUCUCUAUCCAAAUCAUACUAUAAGGUCCACUUUCACCAUAUGCUGAAUCACGUUAUUCUACCACUCCCAUCCACAGGGGGACACUGUGCAUUACUGUUGGCACUGAAGUGAACCCCUUCAUCCCUCCGUCAGGUGCGUAAGUCCCAGAGGAGUGGUGAGCUGGGCUUCCUGGAACCGGUGGAGGAGGUGCGUGGAAUUCCAGCAAAUUAGUUAUACAACUUUAAAAUUGUCUCUCCGCCUCAUGG
Non-coding RNA from Salmo salar (Atlantic salmon), 1329 nucleotides. The record is from RefSeq and is a predicted model, not a curated record. NCBI's taxonomy places the organism in Eukaryota, Metazoa, Chordata, Actinopteri, Salmoniformes, Salmonidae.